This 500-nucleotide ribosomal RNA is filed under the name uncultured bacterium. RNAcentral's name for it is "partial 16S ribosomal RNA". It matches the Rfam family "Bacterial small subunit ribosomal RNA", at positions 30 to 523 of the family's 1533-position model. The record is from RNAcentral.
AUUGAACGCUGGCGGCAUGCCUUACACAUGCAAGUCGAACGGCAGCACGGGAGCAAUCCUGGUGGCGAGUGGCGAACGGGUGAGUAAUAUAUCGGAACGUGCCCAGUCGUGGGGGAUAACGUAGCGAAAGCUACGCUAAUACCGCAUACGAUCUAUGAAUGAAAGCGGGGGAUCGCAAGACCUCGCGCGAUUGGAGCGGCCGAUAUCAGAUUAGGUAGUUGGUGGGGUAAAGGCCCACCAAGCCGACGAUCUGUAGCUGGUCUGAGAGGACGACCAGCCACACUGGGACUGCGACACGGCCCAGACUCCUACGGGAGGCAGCAGUGGGGAAUUUUGGACAAUGGGCGCAAGCCUGAUCCAGCAAUGCCGCGUGCAGGAUGAAGGCCUUCGGGUUGUAAACUGCUUUUGUACGGAGCGAAAAGGCUUCCACUAAUACUGGGGGCUCAUGACGGUACCGUAAGAAUAAGCACCGGCUAACUACGUGCCAGCCGCCGCAGUAA